Molecule: long non-coding RNA, 1985 nt
Organism: Hippoglossus stenolepis (Pacific halibut)
Lineage: Eukaryota; Metazoa; Chordata; Actinopteri; Pleuronectiformes; Pleuronectidae
Exons: 2
Source: RefSeq, a predicted model, not a curated record
GGAAACAGGAAGGGGAGUUAUAACGGCUCAAACACAGACAGACACAGACACGAUUCCCUAACAGCAGCAAACUAACAAAAGGAUGAUGAGGAUGUCAGGAAGAGUCACGAGUUGCUGUGCAGCUCUGUUCCUUGCACUGGCCUCUGUGUCAGCUGUAGAAAGACUCAAUUCAAUUAAUGAUUUGAAGAAAAUCUACAGUGGUCAAUCUGUGCCCAAACACACUCUUCUACUUCUCCACUGGUUUGCCAACGUAGUUGAUAUCGACAGCAACAACAUCAUAUGGUUGACCUUUGACCCAAACAAUGACGAUUUUGGAUGGCAUUAUUAUAGCAACUAUGAGCAGGUGCUGGACCCACUGCCUCGGGGUUACAAGUACUACACUGUUGGCAAUCUCCUUCUAGACGAACGUGAACAACUUCCAGAUUAUGUUGCCCAUCCCCGGGCAGAGUAUGCGGGAAGAAACUGGGACCGGAUCGUGUUCAGAGUCAGGCUGCGGAACACAGGACGGCAAACUUGGCAACAGAUAGAUCGAGUGUACAUCACACAGCAUUAUGGGCACCAUGGAAAUACGACAUAUAAUCCUGAACAUACCUAUGAGAUCACGACUAACCUCCUGAGACAGAUCCGAAAGUUUUCAGUGGGAGCAAACCAGUCACUGAGGACUCUCAGAAAUCGCUAUGGAAGUAACACUAGUGAUUUCCAGUUAUCAGAAAUCAGAAACAUAUGGGGGAACCUUGCUUGUCUUGGACUGCUGUUGUUUAUUGUGAUCGAGGAAAGGUACAACUUUGACCAACAAAGUGCCAGCCUUCAGAGUGAGACAACAGGAGGAAACAAGGUUGUGACACAACCUCAUUACAACAUCCAAGGCCCCAGACAAAAUGGGUGGAAUUGUGAAACAUGCAUUCUCAUUUUAGUGCUUAUAUGUAUAUUUGUCUUUGCCAUUCUUUGUUUCCUCUGGCAUUCCAGCGGUAGGGGAAGAUGACAAGAAAUGAGAAAGAUGUUGUCCAAACCAAACGUUUUUCUGUUUAUUACUUAUUUUACUCAAUUAUUUUUUUUAAAUUAUAUUUAACUUCACAAAGAAAAAAAAAAAGACAAAAAAAGACGAAACAUACAAUACGCAAUAUUACUUUUAAGAUGAUUGGGAAUCAAGCAGUUAGGACUGAUCAAUGGACCUGGAUAAGGGUUAAUUCUAAAAGCUGGUGUAUGCUUUGUUUUGCUUUCAUGUUUAUGUAAAUGGUUACUACAUUAUUUUCUUAACACUGUUCUGGUAAAUAUUGAGAUAGAGGUUGUGUUCAUGGACCAAAUACUGAAAAAUCACAGAGUCUUCAGGGUGUCACCUCAGGUCAGCACUAAUUUAGGCUAUAGUACCAACGUAAAAUCUAUCUGAUCAGUACAGGAUCUUCACAAAAUGUCGACAUCAGUUAAAGACAGUGAUGUUAUAUUAGUUCAGAUUAAAACCUGCAUAUUCAAAUUUAAUUUGCAAGAAUCUUACUUGCCUGGGAAAAUUACAGAACAAAAGAUUAAGGACAUAUUUUACAUUUAUUAGACCAAGAAGUGUGGUCCAAGGGGUUCUACUUACAAAAAAUAAACCACACCUAGUUAAUUACAGCACAAACUCUUCUGUAAAAUAACUAUUUUUAUACAUAGUAAGGCACUAUACUGGUCUUAACGCUUCAGGCUUAAUUCAUAUUCAAUGUCAUGCUCCAGCACGUCUAAUCCAGUAGUGGUGACUCACUGUUCUUUCAUAUGUGUUUCCUAGAGAUGAAGAGAAAGUAAAUAGCUCUGAUGCAUAGAUGAGACCCACAAGUGAAAGGAUCGAUGGCGUGCUAAGCAUAGCUCACAUUGAUAAUGUAUUAGCAUAAACAAAAUAACAGAUGUAUAUUUUACAUAUGGUUUUGUAUUCUUGCUAUAAUAUUGUAAAUGGGGUGUUCAUUGAAUACACACUGCUGUUUGUUUGGUGUGUAAAUAAAAAGUUUAAAAGACAA